Molecule: ribosomal RNA, 274 nt
Filed under: uncultured bacterium
Lineage: Bacteria
Description: partial 16S ribosomal RNA
Rfam family: Bacterial small subunit ribosomal RNA
Source: RNAcentral
CUGCGGAGGGUGCAAGCGUUAUUCGGAAUCACUGGGCGUAAAGGACGCGUAGGCGGGUUGGCAAGUCAGAUGUGAAAUCCUACAGCUUAACUGUAGAACUGCAUUUGAAACUGCUAACCUAGAGUAUGGGAGGGGGAGAUGGAAUUAGUGGUGUAGGGGUAAAAUCCGUAGAUAUCACUAGGAAUACCGAAAGCGAAGGCGAUCUCCUGGAACAUAACUGACGCUAAGGCGUGAAAGCGUGGGGAGCAAACAGGAUUAGAAACCCUUGUAGUCC